This is a long non-coding RNA of Eriocheir sinensis (Chinese mitten crab), 1142 nucleotides long. RefSeq lists it as uncharacterized. The record is from RefSeq and is a predicted model, not a curated record. Lineage: Eukaryota; Metazoa; Arthropoda; Malacostraca; Decapoda; Varunidae. The transcript has 2 exons.
UGCUGGACGAGCUCAGUGCGAGUCUGCUGCUGCUGAGUGUGUAGCUCAGCGACUCGGCAGUCGCCAGCUGGGCUCUCAUUUUUAAGGUAAUUACCUCAGAUUAGCGUAAUCUCACCACUUUUAAGGUAAUUUUGAGGUAAUGCUAUUUUUAAGGUAAUUCUGAGGUAAUUCAGGUAUUCUUAAGGUAAUUCUAACGUAAUUGGAUAACUUGACAAUGGUGCCAUAUGUCUAACGUCACACUACUCACUUGCAAUGCGAUAUUAUUUGGAGUGUGGGCAGCCCAAGAUGGCCGCCACUUUGAAACACUCGGAAAACCCCCACCGCCUCUUUAUCAUCUAUGGCGCACGGUUUGUUUACGUUGAUCUUCUGGGCGGGAAGGCGGAGCUUGGAGCUAAAACACUGUUUCGUGUGUGCAGUUACAUAGCUACUAGGCCAACUGCAUAACCAUGGACAUCGACUCAGACAGUGACUCUGACAAGGAUGAGCCUGUUGCAGCUACAAGUAAAAAAAAAGGACGAUACGCCCAAAAAUACAAGUCAUCUUGGGAAAAGGAGGCAGAAUUUAUUGGGUGGCUGAAAUCCAGUUCAAAAGGAGCAUUUUUUGCAUAUUGCACUGCCUGCCAUGUGAACUUAUCAUUGAAUGCUGGGAAGCGAGAUUUGAAAUCCCAUGCUAAAGGUAGAAAACAUGUUCAGAACUGUGCUUCAGUUGCAAAGCAACCAUCAGUAUUAGAUAUGCCUUCAGUGGGUAGAAGAAAGAAACUUGAAGAUUCAGCUAAAGAAAGUGAGAUCAGAUUAGCAGCAUUUAUCAGUGAACAUGACUUGCCAAUUAGGGCAGUGGAGCAUAUGCCUCAACUCAUUCAGUCAAUGUGCCCUGAUUCUGAGAUAGCCAAACACAUUAAAUGUGGUCAAAUGAUGAAGUUAAUGAAAGAGGAUAUGUACAGUAUGGCAAAAGACAUAGAAGAUGAUAACAGUGAGUAGAUCAGUUUUUUCAAUAUUUUUUAAUAAUUUUGUAUUAUGCUGAUUUUUGCACUCCAUUCAUAAUUUCAGUUUCACAUUCAGGAGGAUUUUUUUAUUUUGUAAUGGCAAAAAUAAGCCAAAAAACUGGUAAUAAAUGUAAAUGAAAAUAUUAUGUAAUUGAUGUAG